This is a non-coding RNA of Anas platyrhynchos (mallard), 1170 nucleotides long. Lineage: Eukaryota; Metazoa; Chordata; Aves; Anseriformes; Anatidae. The record is from RefSeq and is a predicted model, not a curated record.
GGCCAGGUGCUCUCACUGCUGCAGCAGACCCUGCCCCACUGCGAGCACAGAGCCACAGCACCAUGCCACCAGCCUCACCCAGGCGCUUCCCCAGGGCUUCCGCCUGCUUUCAGCAUGUCGCCUGGGCUCCAGCUGACACUUCCAAGUGAGGACUGCAGUGGAUCACAGUAAUUGAGCAGGUGCUACCCCUAAGCAGACCACAGACGAACCCAACCGCCUAUCUGCAGCUGAAAGGCUCAUGCACAUCCAGCUAAUGCUUCACGUGGCUGCUGCACACUGAGGAGAAAAAGCUACAAGAUACUCCAGACAUUGGUAGUCACGCUUUCUAAUAGCACAGCUGCAUCUACAGCUGAUCAGUCUGCCCUGGAGGGGACUAGCACCUGCUGACAGGUAUGCUCUGCAGACCUUUUCAAACUUCGCUUCUUCCUAAAAACAUGGUCAAAAUCAGGGAAAGCCCUGGCAGCUCUUGAUUCCUAUGUUGGUGUUCAUAUGACUGUCCCCACUUGCUGCCUGCCCUGCAUGCUUGCUGUCUCAGCAUUUCAACUGCAGCAGCAAAAUGAGGAGCUGAACAGACCUGCUACAAUCUAUAUGGCUGCUUUCAAGGAGCUGCCAGCAUCUGCUGCGGUGUAUUUGCAGCAUCAUUUAACAAAAAUAAGCCAAGAGAAUCUUCACCAAUCCAGGAAUUGGAGUGCCUGGAGCAGUGUGUCCAGGGGAUGUGCAGACUGACCUCCAGACCCUGAGAGCCUCCUGCCCGUGAAUGCUCCCCACUGCAUGUCCCCCACCAGCAUGCUAUUACCAGCCAGGAUCAUGACCCAAUGCAGACAAGAGUGCUUAGGGGAAUGCAAAGUGAGUCUGAGGCUAUACCGGCCUUCAGAAGGACAAAAGUUCAAUGUCUUGUGUAAGCUGGUCCUCCAGGUAACUGCAAUGAGUGGCAAGAGAGGAAAACAGGGAAAAAUAAUAAAUCAAUAAAUAAAGAGGACUAAAUUAAGUGGGAUAAAUAUCCUCUUCAAAAUGCCCAUCUCUUAUCGAGUAUGGCAUUGCUGAGCAGGUUUGAGCAGAUACCUUUGUUAAUCAAACACUUUUUGGCACCUAGCCUUGUUCUGUGCACUGGAUUAUUAUUAUUUUCUUAGCACAGAAAACAACAUUGACAAAUACACAGUUUAUUUCUAA